UGGUCAAGUCUCCUUUUAAAUAUCAAUUGCGAGUUUGUCACAAUGGUUUGUGUAUCCAGAGAGAAAGAUGAGAGUGGUCAUGUCCGCGUUUUGGUCAUACCCCGUAUCCGAAUCCUGUCGGUAUGUGCACGUUUUUGUGGUCUCUUAAAAAAUCCACGUAGACGCGAGAAGUUUCCAUGUUGACGCGAGAAGUUGGCCCGCGGUCGAGUCGAUAUGCCGCUUUUCCGCGUGCGUGAUUGGCCGAUGCGUGCGUGCGGUCGAUGAUGCGGCAAUCGAGAUCGCGCUGCGAGUUUCGCGUUUGUAUGUACAUAUGUAUGUGUCUGUAUGUGUCGUGUGAUGUGAUAGCUGGCAUCGGUUGCGCGAGGUUAGUAGGAUGAUACGAGAUGCAAGUAAAAAUAUCGUAAUUGCCUACAUGUAUCAAAAAUCUAACGAUUGACCAUACGUUCGCUCGCGUCGUCAUCUCUUUACGACGAUCGGUUACAUAUACGAAGAAGUAUUCUUAUACUCGUUUUGCUCGGUCUUGCUCGAUCGGUUAAUGGUACCAGUGGCUAAGUAACUAGGUUGCGUUGUCGCUAAUCGCCAACCGCUAUUAACAUUGUUACAUUACACCUGACAAGAGCUAUUAACUCCCAUCAUGUAACAUGACGCAUACCGACGCAAGAACUACACGAUUAUGGAACGUGAUAUGAUUAGUCUACGCUCGUUGUUAAGACUGUUUGCUAUCGACAUAAGAAUAAUACGAGUUGUUUAAGAAAUCGUCAUUUUUCUUAAACACAUUUAAGCGUACAACAAUAUACAAUAUUGAUUUACUAUUAUUGAUUGAUUGGCUUAUUCUCGAGCCUUUGCUAUAAUAAUAAUUGUUUGACCGCAUAACCAUCAUUUGAAAUAAUUAA
Temnothorax curvispinosus is the source of this 893-nucleotide long non-coding RNA. RefSeq lists it as uncharacterized. NCBI's taxonomy places the organism in Eukaryota, Metazoa, Arthropoda, Insecta, Hymenoptera, Formicidae. The transcript has 3 exons. The record is from RefSeq and is a predicted model, not a curated record.